This is a long non-coding RNA of Pan troglodytes (chimpanzee), 2483 nucleotides long. RefSeq lists it as uncharacterized. The transcript is spliced from 6 exons. The record is from RefSeq and is a predicted model, not a curated record. Lineage: Eukaryota; Metazoa; Chordata; Mammalia; Primates; Hominidae.
UACAGCAGUUAAGAGCCCUGGGUCUGGAGCAAAACUGCUGAGGUUUGAGGCCCCGUUUUGCUGCUCACUAGCUACAUGAUCUUGGGCAAGUUAUUUAAGCUCUCUGAGCUUCAGUUUCUUCCUCUGCAGAAUGGGGAUGAAAGCGGACUACUACCUCAUGGCAUGUUUUGAGGAUGAAAUGAGCUAAUAAACACAGUCUUCAGCCCUACAUUAGGAUGGCCUAAGGAAAACAAGAAGACUGAAUGAUAUUCCCUGCUGACUUAUAUAAGUUAUUAGUCUUCUAGAAGGAUCACAGGGAACCAGCAUCAAAGAAAUGGAAUCCAGCUAAUUCCUCCAAGAAACUGAAGUUUUCGGGACAUGACUUGUGAAAGGCAAACAUAAGCUGACAUCUUUUCACACUGAACAGCAACAGCCAAAGUGUAUCCGAAAAGCCAUUGUCAAAACAAGGAGUGAGAACAGCUGGGGUCAAGACCUAAUGAAGGGCAUCACUUAGCCUCUUUGAGCCUCAGAUUCCUCAUUUGUAAAGUGGGCAUAAUAAUACCUCACAGGGUAGUUAUGAGGGCAAAUGAGAUAAUGGACACGAAGGCACCUGUACACUCCACGGUGCUAUCAGAAUAUUGACUAUUAGUGCUUUCAUCACGCGGCUCCAUCCAAACCCCUGCUUUCCCUCACUCCAACAGGCUUUUACUCUGUCACCCAGGCUGGAGUGCAAUGGUGCAAUCUUGGCUCACUGAAACCUCUGCCUCCUGGAUUCAAGCGAUCCUCCCACCUCAGCCUCCCGAGUAGCUGGGACUACAGAAAUUAUUCCUUUGCAGGUGGUGCAAAGGAUCAGCACGGGAGUUUUGACCUGCUCCGUUUCCGACCUGGGUCGGUUCACCCCUCCUUAGGCAACCUGGCAGUUCCCCGCUCCAGGGAGGUCACCCUCUUGAUGCUGAAUUUAGCACGGACACCUGAUGGGCACAGUGCACUGCAGCCCAGAGCUCCCAGGCUCAAGCCAUCCUCCUGCCUCAGCCUCCAAGUAGCCAGGACCAUAGGCACGCACCCUGAGGAGGAAGAAAUACCAGGUGCGCAUGCUCCGAGAAAAAGCCAUCUGAGGACGCAGCAAGAAGGCCGCCAUCUACAAGCCAAGGAGAGGGGCCUCAGGAGAAAUCGAACCUGUCACACCUUGAUCUUGGACUUCCAGCCUUCAGAACUGUGAGAAAGUAAAUUUCUGUGUUCAAACUACCAGGUCUGUGGGAUUUUUUAUGGCAGCCCUAGCAGACUAAGACAGGCGUCAAUGGUUCCAAUGUUUUCAUUUUUUUUUCAGGUAAGCAGACCGAAGCCCAGAGAGAUGAAGCAAUUUGCCCAAAGUCACAUACCAAGUUAACUGAAGAGUUGGGAUUAGAAUCCAGCUCUUGUGACUUCUCUCUUUUCAGUUUCCCUUCCCACUCCCCCCACUGAAAAGCUUUUGAGUGACUCUUUUAGAAAUCCCGGUUCUGUAUAUGAAGCAGAAUUGAGCACAGCUGCUCUAUUGAAGGGCUCAGAGCUCCCAGGCUUUUCUCUCUCCUCUGCCCCUUUUCCCUGUUGCACCUCUGCAGCGUCCUGAGGGUUGAUGGAAUCUAGUUUGAAAGCUAUUGCUCUACCUCACUGCCUCCUGAAUGCAAUGUCACAAAUUUUCCCAACUUGCCAUUUCUCUCACACUGACAUAAAGCAUUAGAAACCUGUUGUGAAGUAGGAAAGCUAACUGGGUCAGUAGCUGAUAAGAUAAUCUGGCCUAGGGGAUAGAUGAUUAGGAUUUCAGAGAAGGAAAGGUCACCCAAUUGAUUUGACUCUGUCCUGGGGCGAUGAUAUGGUGAAGAUUUCUACAGAUGCAGCAGAAACAUCCGGAAACCAGGUGUGUCCCAGCUCUGGUCUGGGAACCAUUUCAUAAAUUGGCAAAUAUCCAGAAUAUACACAUGGCUAAUUCUGAGGUGUACUGAAGUUUCAAUAAAGCUACUUUGGUAAUGACUAGGAGAAGAAAAUCCUAUGGCUGCACUUUGUUAAUGUUGUAUGGCCACGGACAGUGUUUCUCUAAUUAUGGCCUGUGAACCUCCCUGGAUCUCGAUCACCUGCAUAUUUGGGAAUAUGCAGGUUCCAGGGUCCCACCUGAAACUACAGAAUCAGUAUUGAGAACCCAGGUGAUUCUCAUGUACACUCAAGUGUAAGAUUAUUAGCACCUGGACUUUGGAAGCAGCCAGAUAAAAGUAUGAAUCCCGGGUUGGCUACUUCCUAGAUGUGGCCAAGUCAUUUUACUUGCCAUGCUUUUGCUUUUCUUGUCUGUAAAGUGGACAUAAUACCUAUUUUACAGGGUGGUUUUGAGGAAUAAGGUCAGCUUUAAAAAUUUAUCCUCUUUAGGGAGACAGAGAGAGGAGAUGAAAUAGAGUAGAAUUGAGAAAAGCAGCUUCUUAGACCUCUCUGUGAAGUUUUUCUUAUUUCAACAAAUAAUAAAAAAUUCAUAUACUUUC